Molecule: ribosomal RNA, 251 nt
Filed under: uncultured prokaryote
Description: partial 16S rRNA
Rfam family: Bacterial small subunit ribosomal RNA
Source: RNAcentral
ACGGAGGGUGCAAGCGUUGUUCGGAAUUAUUGGGCGUAAAGGGCGCGUAGGCGGUAAUGUAAGUCAGAUGUGAAAUACUUCGGCUCAACUGAAGAACUGCAUCUGAAACUGCAUAACUAGAGUACAGAAGAGGGAAACGGAAUUCCCGGUGUGCGGUUGCAUUGCGUAGAACUGGGGCGGAGGAGCAGAGGCGAGGGGAGAAAAAAGGUCUGGUUCUGAGGGUAGGACAGGUAAGUGAGGGAUGAGGUUUG